AGUGAACGCUGGCGGCGUGCUUAACACAUGCAAGUCGAACGAGAAAGCACUUCGGUGUGAGUAGAGUGGCGCACGGGUGAGUAACACGUAGGUAACCUGCCCUUUUGUGGGGGAUAACCAGGAGAAAUCCUGGCUAAUACCGCAUAAGUUGGUAACAAGAAAGGAUGCUUCGGCAUUCGCGAAAGGAUGGGCCUGCGUGACAUUAGCUUGAUGGUGGGGUAAUGGCCUACCAUGGCAACGAUGUCUAACUGGUCUGAGAGGAUGAUCAGUCACACUGGAACUGAGACACGGUCCAGACUCCUACGGGAGGCAGCAGUGGGGAAUAUUGCGCAAUGGGGGAAACCCUGACGCAGCAACGCCGCGUGAGUGAGGAAGGCCUUCGGGUUGUAAAGCUCUGUCAGAUGGGAAGAACGGUUAAGGGUCCAAUAGGCCUUUGAUUUGACGGUACCAUCAAAGGAAGCACCGGCUAACUUCG
RNAcentral lists this ribosomal RNA (475 nucleotides) under uncultured Bacteriovorax sp. RNAcentral describes it as "bacterial SSU rRNA". It matches the Rfam family "Bacterial small subunit ribosomal RNA", at positions 29 to 505 of the family's 1533-position model. Lineage: Bacteria; Pseudomonadati; Bdellovibrionota; Bacteriovoracia; Bacteriovoracales; Bacteriovoracaceae. The record is from RNAcentral.